This 4113-nucleotide long non-coding RNA is filed under the name Sus scrofa (pig). Its description in RNAcentral is "lncRNA (ENSSSCG00000055440.1)". Lineage: Eukaryota; Metazoa; Chordata; Mammalia; Artiodactyla; Suidae. The record is from RNAcentral.
GUCAGUUUUGAUUUAUUGGUUAUUCUCCUCAUUAUGGUUGUAGUUUCCUAUCUGUUUGUGUGCCUGGUUAUCUUUGGUUACAUGCACAUUUUUUAGAUUUUAUUUUGUUGGGUGUUGGAUACUUCUGAACUCUAGCAGAAUUUCUAGAGCUUUGUUCACGAAUAAUAAGGUACUUGGAAUCAGUUUGAUCCCUUCAAGUUUUGCUUUAAUGGUCUGUUUGACAUACUGGAAGCAAUUCUCAGUCUAGGGCUAAUUUUUCUCCACUAACGAGGCAGUACCUCCUUGAAUAAUCUACACAGUGCCUUAUGAGUUUUCCCAGCCUUGCGGGUGAGAACAGGCACUAUUCCUGCCCAUGUGUGUGCUCCAGCAUGGGUUCUCUCUAUUGCUUUCAGAUGAUUCUUUCCUGGGACCCAUGCAGUUUUCUCAUGGCACAUAGUGAUCAGAACUCUGCUGAGUAUCUGACAGGGGUCCUUCUGCAAACUGCCACUGUUCCCUCUGUGCAGCUCUGUCCUCUUUGUCUCUUGUCCUAUCAACUCUGUCUUCAACUCCUUGGACUCUCACCUCUGUUUCGUCAAUCCAUGGUCCUAACUGGGUUUUACCUCAGUUCCUUUUCCAUAGAAUCACUGUCAUGGAGUUCCCUGUGGUUCAGUGGUAACAAACCUGACUAGUAUUCAUAAGGGCGUGAGUCCGAUCCCUAGCCCUGCUCAGUGGGUUAAACGAUCCAGUGUCGCUGUGAGCUGACAUGGCUUGGAUCUGGUGUUGCUGUGGCUGUGGUGUAGGCUGGCAGCUGCAGCUCUGAUUGGACCCCUAGCCUGGGAACCUCCAUAUGCUGCAGGUGUGGCCCUAAAAAAAAAAAAAAAAAAAUCACUUGUCAUUCAUUGCCUGAUAGCCUGUGUCUUAAAAACCACUGUUUCAUGUGUUUUGUCUGUUUUGGCUUUGUUUUCAGUGUUUGUUUUGUGUUUGUUUUAGUUGCUACAGGUGUGAGGGUAGAUACAGUCCCUGCAACUCCAUCUUGGCCAUAUAGCUUUUCUUAAUCAGAGGCAGCAGGAAGGAAUCUGAAAUGGCCCGUCAUCAAUGUCUUUCCUUCCUUAUUUAUGAUGAGAAUGAGAAAUGUGGCUCAGAUCAUUUCUAUAUAUAUUUACAGUUUUUUUGUUUAUCACAUCUCAAAAAACAGAUUAGGCAAACACUGAUCCUUCAAAUGGAUUCCUUCUCCAGACACAAGAGACUUCCACUGGGGAAUAUUCCUUUAUAGUGUAGGAUGCUAGCCCAAGCUUUGUUCUUGCAGUAUGCAGAUUCAAAUGUGUGCUCAGGUGUCUGACAGAUGAGAAGUUGCAGGUCCCAAGUAAUAUGUUAUAAACUGGGGAAAUGGCAGUAAACGUAGGCUGGGUCCAAAGUCAUUCAAAUUCAAUAGUACGAUGGCAAAUAAGAGACUUUUCAGGCCCAGUUUAAUGGCACUGUCUAAUCCUAAAUUCCCACCACUUAUCUCAAUUGUAAGACUUUUUAUUGAAUUAUUCCAUGAAAAAAAAAAAACCUUUAAGAACAACAUAUGGCAUUAAUAAUUGUAGUGAUACUAUUAUUGACGCUGAUAAAUCCUUCAAAGAGGGCCCACAGUCUCCCAAGAGGAUUAACCAGGAGAAUACAAAAUCAUAGAUGAGGAAAUGAAUCUAAUUCUCCCAAAGCAGUAAGUAUCUUUUUUACCACUCUUGGAGCUGUGUGACCACAAAGCUUAGCAAUGUAUUUGUGUUAAGGAUAGUACAUCUUUUCUGUCUUCCCAGCAAAAGUAGCCCUAUUGCUGCAACCUGUUUCUCCUGUUUUACAUCUACUUCGGUCAAUAUUUUCUUAAGCUUGUAAGAAAGCUAAGUGAUACAGUUGGAUGUGGGAAACUGGUUUUAGAAUAUAAGCUAGAAGAGACAGUCUUUGGAGACCUGAGAUCAAUUCUUUUCAUAGUAAUAAUUUUUGGAUUUUUAAAUAGCUACGGUAUGGUUUCCAGUGUCCUAGAAAUCCAAUGGCAAAUAAGAGUAUCAUAUCAAGAAUCAUAAACAUAUGACAAAUUAUACAGAUUAAGCUUAUAAAAUUCUAACUCCUGCUGUUACUCAAGCUAGUCUCUAUAAGUACAGACCCAGAAUAUUUGAGUCAUAUAAUGACUAAAAUAUAUAUUCCUACUAAUACUCAAUUUGAGUUUCCUUGCCUUAAAGGACAUCAAAAGAUAUCAACGUAUGAUAGUCAGAUAUAAAGUAUUAGUGUGUUUUUUAACACCUAGUAAAAAUAACAAAAGAUAUUAAUUGAAUGAAGAAAGUCCAUCUUGAUUAGAUUUAGUCUAACCACAAUAUUCAGCAGCAAGAUUAGUCUCUCUAACAUAAAUACUAAGACACGUGACUGCUGUGAUAAUGAUGACUGACUUUCACUGCAGGGUUUAUGCAUCUCUAAAACUGGUUAUGUUUCAUGACUGAACUGCAUUUUUCAAAGUCCUUUUCCAAAAUCUUCUUGAAAGCCAAACUCUUUUAUUUUUUUAACAGCUUAAAUUAAAAAGAGGUGAUACUUUCCCAAGAAAGGUUUGGUUAGAUGAGGGAUUCUCAACCUGGAGGAUUUUUUUUUUGUUUGUUUUGUUUUUUCCACUCCUCCUUUUCUCCCUGGGAAAUUUUGCAAUGUUUAGAGAUGUUUUGUUUGUCAAAACUGAGGAGGAAGCAUUACUGGCAUCUAGCAAAUAGAGGCAAGGAUUCCACGAAACAUUUUACAAUGUAUGAGCAGCCUCCUAGAACAAAGAACUAUCUAGUCCCAAAUGUCAAUAGAACUGGGAUUGAGAAAUCCUGUGUUAGAUGAAGGCUGUGGGAUUCUAAUACACUUCAGUAUAAAUUCCAACUGAGAAAUACCUUUGUGCUAACUUUCAAAAUUACAUUUGUUUAAAAAAAUAGUUUCAUUUAUUAUUUUAAAAUAAAAACUCCUUACAUUUUAUCAUUUACAAAAUCUUUUCCCUGUUUUCAUCUCAUUUGCUCUCCAUAGCUCUGAUGAAGAAGUCAUCUUUUUCCCUGUUUUGAUACCAAGGGCGCUGUUGCGCAGGGGGAAGAAGAGGCAAAGGGAUUCAAGCAAGGUCACAGAGAUUCAAAUUCUUGAUGGUCAAUCUAGUGCUUACCUAUAGCUGUGACACUCUUGUUAAGAACACUACAUAAAAAGGGAUUUAAAGUUUUUAAAAGCAAAUUGUGCAGAUAUCAUAUGCUUUAAGGAUGGAGGGUGGGAGAAGACUGGGCAUGGUUUGGAUAUUAUCAGAAAUGGGAAGCAAGAAUGGGAGGUAAAGAGCAAAAAGAACAAUGACAUUAGUCAAGUCACAUGGAGAAGCACAGACAGAUCCCUAAUUCAAAUGACGACUUCUCUGUGAAAAAUCAUUCCUUUCCGUAUAAACAGGAUAAGACCCUUAUGAAAACAUAAAAUUGACAAAUGUGCUGAGUCCAACCAGAAAAAAAGAAACCAUACUCAUUACUUCCAACAGAUAUUUGAUGCAAGGAAUACAUUGCACAAGUGAGGGAAAUACUAGGAAUUCAGGCGUUGGCAACCGUAUAGGAAGCCAUUACACUUUUAAACAGGUCAGAGGGGGAGUUCCCAUUGUGGUUUAGCAGGUUAAGAAACUGAUUAGUAUCCAUGAAGAUGCAGGUUCAAUCCCUGGCUUCACUCAGUGGGUUAAAGGAUCUGGUGUUGCCACGAGCUGCAGUGUAGAUCUCAGAUCCCCUGUCACUGUGGCUGUGGCACAGGCCAGCAGCUGCAGCUAUUUGACCCCUUCUGGGAACUUCCAUAUGCUCCAGGUGUGGCCCUAAAAAAAAAAAAAACAAAAAUUAAACAGGCCAGAGAGAGGAAGCAGUAUUGCAGGGAUGAUUCAGCGGGAGGCUAGACUAGCAGGAGUUGGAGCCUGUGAGAAAACAUAGUUGCUGCAGGGGACGGUGCCUAAGGCUGAAAAUGAGGGGGAAUAACACACUGACUUCGACCUUUCUCCUACCAUCCUGGGUCUUGACAGUGCUUCCUAUCAGCCUAACCCAGCAGGAAGCCAGCUGACACAGGAGCCUGAGAAACCGUCUGCAGGAGCUGAUUGAGAUGUGGAGCAAAGAGAAAAAGCAAAGGAUGAAU